Molecule: non-coding RNA, 1006 nt
Organism: Nicotiana tabacum (common tobacco)
Lineage: Eukaryota; Viridiplantae; Streptophyta; Magnoliopsida; Solanales; Solanaceae
Source: RefSeq, a predicted model, not a curated record
UUCUUCGGAAAAGGCCCAAAUAGCCCCCGAUACUUAGGACAAGGUCUAUAUAUAACCCUGUUAAAAGUUUGGCCUAUCACCAACCUUGCCGUUACACUAUUGGCUUGGAUAUCCCUUUCUUUUAAACGGUUGCCACAGUAAAUAAGUUAUUCACUCAAAAUAUAACAUGUAGAAAUUAAUAUACACAUAAUCAUUUUAUUUUAACGCCCAACCCAACCCAUUAACCCUACCCGUUACCCAACCCGUAAAACAUUACCCCUCUCUUAAUUAACCAUACCCUUUUCUUCUCAAAUCAGCUUUUCUUCUCAAUCUCAACAAGGAGCUCACAGAGCUGGUGCUAAUUCCGGUGCAAAUCUGGACGAAGUAUUCCUACCAUCUUUCACCAUUCAAUUCCCAAAAUAUAAGUCAGGGAUCUUCGAGUUCAUCAUAUGGUUCGAGAAGGAAAUGUUGUUGUGGAGUUGCUGCUAGCCAAUUCACUGAUUGGACUCCAAAUAAUGUCGGCAGACGAUUUAACAAGUGUUCAAUGCCUAAGGGACAGAAAUGUAAGUUUUGGGAAUGGGUAGAUGAUGAACUUCCUCUUAGAGUUAUAUCACUGAUCAGUAACUUAAAGAAUGAAAAUGAAGCUCUUAGAUGAGAAAGGAAUCUUUUGCCGAUGAAGGUUGUCGAGAUUGAAAGCGUCUUAGCAGGGGAUGUUGCAAAAGUUGAAGAUUUCAAGGAAUUAGAUGAUGUUAAAGGAGACAAUGAUGUUUCUAAGGAAAAAAUUGAUGGAGGUUUAGUGUUUGUGAAGGAAAGUAAUCAGAAAAAAUGGAAUGUCAUUGCUAUGGUACGGUGUUGCUUCGUUGGGUUUAUGUGUGCUUGGAUGAUGAAAUAGCUAACUUAAGAUCAACCAAAGUUUAGGUGUAUUUGACAUAUUUAAGUGAUUAUGUAACCUAUGUUCAAACAAGGUUUAUGUAUAACUGAUAUAAUUAAGGUUUAAUUUAUGUUUUAUGUUUUGGAAUGAGGUUUA